Non-coding RNA from Camellia sinensis, 468 nucleotides. Lineage: Eukaryota; Viridiplantae; Streptophyta; Magnoliopsida; Ericales; Theaceae. The record is from RefSeq and is a predicted model, not a curated record.
GGGUAGGGCUGGGCAUAGGGUUAUCCGAUCCGCCCAAACCGCCCUACCCGAACCAAACCGCACGCGCGUGGGCGGUUUCGCAAACGCAUUAGGGUAGGGUGCGGGUUAGAUUUUAUAUAAAUUUCGGGUUGCGGGCGGGUUGCAGGUUUGAACCGCACCCACCCAAACCGCCCGCAUUAAAUUAAUUAAUUUUUUUUUUCCCCUCUUUCAAAUCUAGCCGUCCAUCACCAUCUCACUCACCUCAUUACAAAUAAAACAAAAAACCCUAAAUUCGUCUCCCUCACUCUCUCAGUCAGCCUCAUCUCAACUCAUUUAUGUCUCUCUCUCUCACUCUCUCGUUUCGUUAUUCUGCACCGAUCACUCUCUCUCACUCUCUCGUUGUUCAUCUCAUCGCACCGAUCAUCGCACCGCCGAUCUACUCACAGAUCCACAGUUUGGUUUUGCAUCUCUGCACUAAUCGACUCACAG